This 883-nucleotide long non-coding RNA is filed under the name Numida meleagris (helmeted guineafowl). Its description in RNAcentral is "lncRNA (ENSNMEG00000006758.1)". Lineage: Eukaryota; Metazoa; Chordata; Aves; Galliformes; Numididae. The record is from RNAcentral.
AUGCUGCCAUCAGAAAUGCAGAAGGAUGUUCUGUCUGGAGACUGGGAUUCUGCUGUUGACCAGUUGAGCAUUCCAGUAACCAAGGCAACAAAAGCCUCUGUUCUACUUAGAGGAAAUUGGGGAGCUGGCCUAAUACUGUCUGGAAAUUGCCUCUGGCAGACAACAGUCCUCCAGUGCCAGCCAGCCUGGUGGGAGAUGGACACCCCACUAUUCCACAGAAACCACAGAGAGGAAAAUCUUUGGAUAUGGAACACAGUGAGAGGAAGGAUGGGAAGUAGGGAAACCAAGAAUAAACACAGACUUCCCUCUACCAACUCUGCAGAAUUCAGGGAAAAAUAUUAAUAUAAAAGGCUCUCUAACAGUGUCACUGAGUACGGGAGUACCCUUGGCAUCUAGGCACUGUCAAAAAGCUAAAGGAAUUUGUUGGUCUUUGUCUCCAGCUGAGCUCUGAAUAGUUUUUCACCUUUUUAUUUUUUUAAGUUUUUUACAGUUAAACUUGUGCAAACACUGACUAUUAUGUAGUGAACAAGAAAAAAAAUCGAUAAAAUGCUUCUUAGAAUAUUCUUUCCUUUUUUUUCUAUUUUGUUGUUGUUAUUAUUGUUUGUUUUAUUUUGUUUCCCUCUACUAGAAACUAGCCGUAGUGAUCACAUGCAGAUCUGUGUUUGCUUCAGUGUUAUAUUACUGCAACUAAAAUUAGAAUCUGGACUGAAACAUUUGGUAUGUAGUUCUGAACUAGCAAGUAUGCAAUUAGGGUGUAAAAUGUUGAUAUCUGCUGCAUCCAAUAGUUCUGCCCAAGUAAAGCACAUUCCUACCUGAAUUCCCUCCACAAACAUCUUGAAUUAACUGACAUUAUCAUAAUAAAAACAUCUUGGGCUUUAUGUCA